RNAcentral lists this ribosomal RNA (497 nucleotides) under uncultured bacterium. Its description in RNAcentral is "partial 16S ribosomal RNA". It matches the Rfam family "Bacterial small subunit ribosomal RNA", at positions 28 to 507 of the family's 1533-position model. The record is from RNAcentral.
GAUGAACGCUGGCGGCGUGCCUAAUACAUGCAAGUCGAGCGAACGGACGAGAAGCUUGCUUCUCUGAUGUUAGCGGCGGACGGGUGAGUAACACGUGGAUAACCUACCUAUAAGACUGGGAUAACUUCGGGAAACCGGAGCUAAUACCGGAUAAUAUUUUGAACCGCAUGGUUCAAAAGUGAAAGACGGUCUUGCUGUCACUUAUAGAUGGAUCCGCGCUGCAUUAGCUAGUUGGUAAGGUAACGGCUUACCAAGGCAACGAUGCAUAGCCGACCUGAGAGGGUGAUCGGCCACACUGGAACUGAGACACGGUCCAGACUCCUACGGGAGGCAGCAGUAGGGAAUCUGCCGCAAUGGGCGAAAGCCUGACGGAGCAACGCCGCGUGAGUGAUGAAGGUCUUCGGAUCGUAAAACUCUGUUAUGAGGGAAGAACAUAUGUGUAAGUAACUGUGCACAUCUUGACGGUACCUAAUCAGAAAGCCACGGCUAACUACGUG